CCUACGGGGGGCUGCAGUAAGGAAUAUUGGACAAUGGGCGCAAGCCUGAUCCAGCCAUGCCGCGUGCAGGAUGAAAGUGCUAUGCACUGUAAACUGCUUUUGUUUGGGAAAAAACCCCUGGUUUCUACCGGGGCUGAUUGUACCAAAAGAAUAAGGGACGGCUAACUUCGUGCCAGCAGCCGCGGUAAUACGAAGGUCCCAAGCGUUAUCCGGAUUUAUUGGGUUUAAAGGGUGCGUAGGCGGACUAUUAAGUCAGUGGUGAAAGCCCCAAGCUUAACUUGGGAACUGCCAUUGAUACUGAUGGUCUUGAGUACAUUUGAGGUGGGCGGAAUGUGUCAUGUAGCGGUGAAAUGCUUAGAUAUGACACAGAACACCGAUUGCGAAGGCAGCUCACUAAACUGUAACUGACGCUGAGGCACGAAAGCGUGGGGAGCAAACAGGAUUAGAUACCCUAGUAGUC
RNAcentral lists this ribosomal RNA (460 nucleotides) under uncultured Bacteroidota bacterium. Its description in RNAcentral is "bacterial SSU rRNA". It matches the Rfam family "Bacterial small subunit ribosomal RNA", at positions 338 to 795 of the family's 1533-position model. The record is from RNAcentral. Lineage: Bacteria; Pseudomonadati; Bacteroidota.